This 91-nucleotide transfer RNA is filed under the name Candidatus Bathyarchaeota archaeon. RNAcentral's name for it is "tRNA-Val". Lineage: Archaea; Thermoproteati; Candidatus Bathyarchaeota. The record is from RNAcentral.
GGGCCGGUGGUCUAGCUGGCUAGGAUAUCCAGGCGGUCCUAAGAGCCGCCUCACACGCGGCUGAUCCCCGGUUCGAAUCCGGGCCGGCCCA